GAUGAACGCUGGCGGCGUGCCUAAUACAUGCAAGUCGAGCGAACAGACGAGGAGCUUGCUCCUCUGACGUUAGCGGCGGACGGGUGAGUAACACGUGGAUAACCUACCUAUAAGACUGGGAUAACUUCGGGAAACCGGAGCUAAUACCGGAUAAUAUAUUGAACCGCAUGGUUCAAUAGUGAAAGACGGUUUUGCUGUCACUUAUAGAUGGAUCCGCGCCGCAUUAGCUAGUUGGUAAGGUAACGGCUUACCAAGGCAACGAUGCGUAGCCGACCUGAGAGGGUGAUAGGCCACACUGGAACUGAGACACGGUCCAGACUCCUACGGGAGGCAGCAGUAGGGAAUCUUCCGCAAUGGGCGAAAGCUUGACGGAGCAACGCCGCGUGAGUGAUGAAGGUCCUCGGAUCGUAAAACUCUGUUAUUAGGGAAGAACAAAUGUGUAAGUAACUAUGCACGUCUUGACGGUACCUAAUCAGAAAGCCACGGCUAACUACGUG
Molecule: ribosomal RNA, 497 nt
Filed under: uncultured bacterium
Lineage: Bacteria
Description: partial 16S ribosomal RNA
Rfam family: Bacterial small subunit ribosomal RNA
Source: RNAcentral